CGGGUGAGUAACACGUUGAUAACCUACCUAUAAGACUGGGAUAACUUCGGGAAACCGGAGCUAAUACCGGAUAAUAUAUUGAACCGCAUGGUUCAAUAGUGAAAGACGGUUUUGCUGUCACUUAUAGAUGGAUCCGCGCCGCAUUAGCUAGUUGGUAAGGUAACGGCUUACCAAGGCGACGAUGCGUAGCCGACCUGAGAGGGUGAUCGGCCACACUGGAACUGAGACACGGUCCAG
RNAcentral lists this ribosomal RNA (237 nucleotides) under uncultured Staphylococcus sp. Its description in RNAcentral is "partial 16S ribosomal RNA". It matches the Rfam family "Bacterial small subunit ribosomal RNA", at positions 103 to 334 of the family's 1533-position model. The record is from RNAcentral. Lineage: Bacteria; Bacillati; Bacillota; Bacilli; Caryophanales; Staphylococcaceae.